RNAcentral lists this ribosomal RNA (305 nucleotides) under uncultured bacterium. RNAcentral describes it as "bacterial SSU rRNA". It matches the Rfam family "Bacterial small subunit ribosomal RNA", at positions 333 to 655 of the family's 1533-position model. The record is from RNAcentral.
GUUUACCUACGGGACGCAGCAGUGGGGAAUAUUGCACAAUGGGGGAAACCCUGAUGCAGCAACGCCGCGUGAGUGAAGAAGUAUUUCGGUAUGUAAAGCUCUAUCAGCAGGGAAGAAAACGACAGUACCUGACUAAGAAGCCCCGGCUAACUACGUGCCAGCAGCCGCGGUAAUACGUAGGGGGAAAGCGUUAUCCGGAUUUACUGGGUGUAAAGGGAGCGUAGACGGCUGCGCAAGUCAGAAGUGAAAGCCCGGGGCUAAACCGCGGGACUGCUUUUGAAACUGUAUAGCUAGAGUGCAGGCGG